AAGCGCUUGUGACCAGACUUGGGCGCGGCGGAUCAUCCGGGGUUCUCUCCGGUGCACUUCGCCGCGUCUAGGCCAGCAUCAGUUCGUCGCGGGGGAAAAAGGUUUCGGGAACGUGGCUCCUCCGGGAGUGUUAUAGCCUAUUGUAUAAUACC
Molecule: ribosomal RNA, 152 nt
Filed under: Trichoderma spirale
Lineage: Eukaryota; Fungi; Ascomycota; Sordariomycetes; Hypocreales; Hypocreaceae
Description: partial large subunit ribosomal RNA
Source: RNAcentral